GGUGAACGCUGGCGGUAGGCCUAACAUAUGCAAGUCGAACGGCAGCACAGUAAGAGCUUGCUCUUACGGGUGGCGAGUGGCGGACGGGUGAGGAAUACAUCGGAAUCUACUUUUUCGUGGGGGAUAACGUAGGGAAACUUACGCUAAUACCGCAUACGACCUACGGGUGAAAGCAGGGGAUCUUCGGACCUUGCGCGAUUGAAUGAGCCGAUGUCGGAUUAGCUAGUUGGCGGGGUAAAGGCCCACCAAGGCGACGAUCCGUAGCUGGUCUGAGAGGAUGAUCAGCCACACUGGAACUGAGACACGGUCCAGACUCCUACGGGAGGCAGCAGUGGGGAAUAUUGGACAAUGGGCGCAAGCCUGAUCCAGCCAUACCGCGUGGGUGAAGAAGGCCUUCGGGUUGUAAAGCCCUUUUGUUGGGAAAGAAAAGCAGCAGGUUAAUACCCCGCUGUUCUGACGGUACCCAAAGAAUAAGCACCGGCUAACUUCGUG
Molecule: ribosomal RNA, 492 nt
Filed under: uncultured bacterium
Lineage: Bacteria
Description: partial 16S ribosomal RNA
Rfam family: Bacterial small subunit ribosomal RNA
Source: RNAcentral